This 322-nucleotide ribosomal RNA is filed under the name uncultured eukaryote. Its description in RNAcentral is "partial 18S ribosomal RNA". It matches the Rfam family "Eukaryotic small subunit ribosomal RNA", at positions 1470 to 1796 of the family's 1831-position model. The record is from RNAcentral.
CCCUUAGAUGUUCUGGGCCGCACGCGUGCUACACUGAGUGGAUCAGCGGGUCAGGUUGCGCGAAAGUGUUUCCUAAUCUUGAAAUCCGCUCGUGAUGGGGAUUGACGGUUGCAAUUUUCCGACAUGAACGAGGAAUACCUUGUAAGCGCGGGUCAUCAUCCCGCGCUGAAUACGUCCCUGCCCUUUGUACACACCGCCCGUCGCUCCUACCGAUUGAGUGGUCCGGUGAGGCUUUGGGAUCUGAGCGGAAAGAGCGUUUCGCUGUUUCUGCUCGGAAAACUCAGUCGAACCUUAUCAUUUAGAGGAAGGAGAAGUCGUAACA